Molecule: ribosomal RNA, 324 nt
Filed under: uncultured eukaryote
Lineage: Eukaryota
Description: partial 18S ribosomal RNA
Rfam family: Eukaryotic small subunit ribosomal RNA
Source: RNAcentral
CCCUUAGAUGCUCUGGGCCGCACGCGCGCUACACUGGUCGAUGCAACGAGUUUCUUUCCUUGGCCGACAGGCCUGGGCAAUCUUUGAACAUCGAUCGUGAUCGGGAUAGAUUCUUGUAAUUUUUGAUCUUAAACGAGGAAUUCCUAGUAAACGCAAGUCAUCAGCUUGCAUUGAUUACGUCCCUGCCCUUUGUACACACCGCCCGUCGCACCUACCGAUUGAAUAGUCCGGUGAAAUCUCCGGACUGGCGUGAGUCGGAGCAAUCUGACAAACGCCGGAAAGUUGAUUAAACCUUACCAUUUAGAGGAAGGUGAAGUCGUAACA